GAACGCACCUUGCGCUCCUUGGUAUUCCGAGGAGCAUGCCUGUUUGAGUGUCAUUGUACUCUCACACUCCCACUCUUUUGGAUUGGGAGCGGUGGACUUGGGUGUUGCUGCUUUACGGUGGCUCACCUCAAAUGGAGUAGUGCAACUCUCGGUUGGACAUAGUACGGCGUGAUAAGUAUCUUCGCCGGCGCCUCACUCGAGGGUGGCCGAUCGGGAGCUCUGUGCUUCAAACUGUCUUCGGACAAUCUCUGACAACUUGACCUCAAAUCGAGUAGGACUACCCACUGAACUUAAG
RNAcentral lists this unclassified non-coding RNA (295 nucleotides) under uncultured Tremellodendron. Its description in RNAcentral is "sequence contains 5.8S rRNA gene". The stretch from base 1 to 53 matches the Rfam family "5.8S ribosomal RNA", at positions 102 to 154 of the family's 154-position model. Lineage: Eukaryota; Fungi; Basidiomycota; Agaricomycetes; Sebacinales; Sebacinaceae. The record is from RNAcentral.